Molecule: long non-coding RNA, 986 nt
Organism: Oncorhynchus tshawytscha (Chinook salmon)
Lineage: Eukaryota; Metazoa; Chordata; Actinopteri; Salmoniformes; Salmonidae
Source: Ensembl
AAAUAUAUAUAUGUUUACAACAACACCCACAGAUAAAUAUAUAUAUAUAUAUGUUUACAACAACACCCACACAUAAAUAUAUAUAUAUAUGUUUACAACAACACCCACACAUUAUAUAUAUAUCUGCAAUAUGACCAGACAGCAGUAUAAAAGUGGGAUGACAGAACAGAAGAGACUUAUCUGUUCAACAAACAAAACCCUCAAAUCCAUGUUGCGUCCCAAUUGGCCCCUAUCAGAUGGCAUCCUAUUCCCUAUAUAGUGCACUACUUUAGACCAGAUGGCACCAAAUGAUGCCAUUCGGCACUUUCCCCAAGGUACAGAUCUAGGGUCAGAUUCCUCCAGGUACAGAUCUAGGAUCAGAUUCCUCUAGGUACAGAUCUAGGAUCAGUUUCCCCUAGGUACAGAUCUAGGAUCAGUUUCCCCUAGGUACAGAUCUAGGGUCAGUUUCCCCUAGGUACAGAUCUAGGGUCAGUUUCCCCUAGGUACAGAUCUAGGAUCAGUCUAGGUUCAGAUCUAGGGUCAGUUUCCCCUAGGUACAGAUCUAGGAUCAGUUUCCCCCAGGUACAGAUCUAGGAUCAGUUUCCCCUAGGUACAGAUCUAGGGUCAGUUUCCCCUAGGUACAGAUCUAGGGUCAGUUUCCCCUUGGUACAGAUCUAGGGUCAGUUUCCCCUAGGUACAGAUCUAGGGUCAGUUUCCCCAAGGUACGUUCUGUUAUCAUGAUUGUGUUAUCAUUAUUACAAGCGUAUUAUAGUCUACAUGGUCUUGUAACUAGUACUUAGAUCAUGUUGAACAACAAAAACUACAUUCUGGGAACGUUCAAUACAUCAGGAGAGGAGAGGAAUCAUCCAACCAGGAUUUCUGGAAAGCCAGGAAAUUUAUUGAAAGGAGAAAUGCUGUGAUUGGCUACUAGAGCUUAGGGAAGAGGAGGAGAGGAAGGACAUAGAGUCUCUCUCUCUCUCUCCUUCUCCCCUCUCCCUCUACUCCCC